Molecule: ribosomal RNA, 393 nt
Filed under: uncultured bacterium
Lineage: Bacteria
Description: bacterial SSU rRNA
Rfam family: Bacterial small subunit ribosomal RNA
Source: RNAcentral
GACGAACGCUGGCGGCGUGCUUAACACAUGCAAGUCGAGCGGUAAGGCCCUUUCGGGGGUACACGAGCGGCGAACGGGUGAGUAACACGUGGGUGACCUGCCUUUAGCUCUGGGAUAAGCCUGGGAAACUGGGUCUAAUACCGGGAUACGACUCCGCGGUGCAUGCUGUGGGGUGGAAAGCCUUGUGCGGCUGGAGAUGGGCCCGCGGCCUAUCAGCUUGUUGGUGGGGUGAUGGCCUACCAAGGCGACGACGGGUAGCCGGCCUGAGAGGGCGACCGGGCCACACUGGGACUGAGACACGGCCCAGACUCCUACGGGAGGCAGCAGUGGGGAAUCUUGCGCAAUAGGGCGAAAGCCUGACGCAGCGACGCCGCGUGAGGGAUGACGGCCUGG